RNAcentral lists this unclassified non-coding RNA (381 nucleotides) under uncultured bacterium. RNAcentral describes it as "contains 16S-23S intergenic spacer region". The record is from RNAcentral.
UCCGGUUUGUCACCGGCGGUCUCCCUAGAGUUCCCAACUAAAUGAUGGCAACUAGCGACAAGGGUUGCGCUCGUUAAGGGACUUAACCCGACACUUCACAGCACGAGCUGACGACAGCCAUGCAGCACCUGUGCACGUUCCACUCUUGCGAGUGUGGCCGAUGUUUCCACCGGUUAAUCCGUACAUGUCAACCCCAGGUAAGGUUCUUCGCGUUGCUUCGAAUUAAGCAACAUGCUCCACCGCUUGUGUGAGCCCCCGUCAAUUCCUUUGAGUUUUAGCCUUGCGACCGUACUCCCCAGGCGGCAUACUUAACGCGUUAGCUCCGGCACGAACCAAAUGAAUGGCUCACACCAAGUAUGCAUCGUUUAGGGCGUGGACUAC